UCAAUCAAUAAAGGGCAUAUGGUGGAGACCUAGGGACCUAGAGCCGAUGAAGGGCGUGACAACCGACGAUAUGCCUCGGGGAGCAGGACGUAUGCACUGAUCCGAGGAUUCCCGAAUGGGGCAACCCAAUGCAUUCCUUCUUGAAUUCAUAGAGAAGAGAAAGACAACUUGGUGAACUGAAACAUCUUAGUAGCCAAAGGAAAAGAAAGCAAAAGCGAUUCCCAAAGUAGCGGCGAGCGGAAUGGGAACAGCCUAAAAGGACUUUGACAGCAAUGUAAAGACCAGGUCAUGGGACCAAACAUAUGGCAUUGUAUGGAAUGAGAAACGAAACAGCUGAAACCUGUACCAUAGAUGGUGAAAGUCCAGUCGUUGAAUCAAUACCAACUCCAGCCGUUUGGCUCCCGAGUAGUAUGGGACACGUGAAAUCCCGUAUGAAUUUGCGAGGACCACCUCGUAAGGCUAAAUACUCCUAGGUCACCGAUAGCGAAUAGUACCGCGAGGGAAAGGUGAAAAGAACCCCUUUACGGGGAGUGAAAUAGAACAUGAAACCGUAUGCUUACAAUUUGUGGGAGGAUGAACACAUCUGACCGCAUGCCUGUUGAAGAAUGAGCUGGCGACUUAGAAGAAGUGGCAGGUUAAGAUUUUCCAUCGAAGCCAAAGCGAAAGCAUGUCUGAUAAGGGCUCUCGUCCCUUCUUCUAGACCCGAACCCAGGUGAUCUAACCAUGACCAGAAUGAAGCUUUGGUGAUACGAAGUGGAGGUUCGAACCGACCGAUGUUGAAAAAUCGACGGAUGAGUUGUGGUUAGGGGUGAAAUGCCAAUCGAACUUGGAGCUAGCUGGUUCUCCUCGAAAUGCGUUGAGGCGCAGCGGUUGAUUAUGGACUUCUAGGGGGUAAAGCGCUGUCUCGGUGCGGGCUGCGAAAGCGGUACCAAUCUGUUGCAAACUCGGAAUACCUAGAAUGUUUUCAAUCAGCCAGUGAGACUGCGGGGGAUAAGCUCCGUAGUCAAAAGGGAAACAGCCCAGACCACCAGCUAAGGCUCCUAAAUAAAAGCUAAGUGGCAAAGGAGGUGAAAGUGCAGUGACAAUCAGGAGGUUUGCCUAGAAGCAGCCACCCUCUAAGGAGUGCGUAAUAGCUCACUGAUCAAGCGCUUUUGCGCCGAAAAUGACCGGAACUAAGUUUUUUGCCGAAGCUGUGGCUACAUCACACAGAUGAUGUAGGGUAGAGGAGCGUUCCGCCCAGGGGGAAGCCAAGCGCGUAAGCCGCGGUGGACAGGGCGGAAGUGAGAAUGUCAGCUUGAGUAACGUAAACAUUGGUGAGAAUCCAGUGCCCCGAAAACUCAAGGGUUCCUGCGCAAGGCUCGUCCGCGCAGGGUCAGUCAGGACCUAAGGUGAGGCCGAAAGGCGUAAUUGAUGGCAAGAAGGUUUAUAUUCCUUCACUAGUCUAGGCUUAGUCCUGAGGGACGAACAAAUAUCACUCAAACAAUGGCCUUCCUUGGCAGGAAGGGCAAAACCAUUGGGGUCUGUUGGUAUUUUUUCCAAGAAAAGCUCAUUCGACUUUGAGUCUAGACUACCUGUACCGUAAACCGACACAGGUGAGUGGGUUGAAUAAACUAAGGGGAGCGAGAUAACUCUCUCUAAGGAACUCGGCAAAUUGGCUCUGUACCUUCGGAAGAAAGAGUGCCCCUCAGGGGGCCGCAGUGAAGAGAUCCAGGCGACUGUUUACCAAAAACACAGGUCUCCGCAAAGUCGUAAGACGAUGUAUGGGGGCUGACACCUGCCCAGUGCCAGAAGGUUAAAGAAGUUGGUCAAUCUUUGAUGAAGCUAACAACUGAAGCCCUGGUGAACGGCGGCAGUAACUAUAACUGUCCUAAGGUAGCGAAAUUCCUUGUCGGGUAAGUUCCGACCCGCACGAAAGGUGU
RNAcentral lists this ribosomal RNA (1919 nucleotides) under marine metagenome. Its description in RNAcentral is "bacterial LSU rRNA". It matches the Rfam family "Bacterial large subunit ribosomal RNA", at positions 3 to 2002 of the family's 2925-position model. The record is from RNAcentral.